This 393-nucleotide ribosomal RNA is filed under the name uncultured bacterium. Its description in RNAcentral is "partial 16S ribosomal RNA". It matches the Rfam family "Bacterial small subunit ribosomal RNA", at positions 523 to 918 of the family's 1533-position model. The record is from RNAcentral.
AUACGGAGGAUCCAAGCGUUAUCCGGAUUUAUUGGGUUUAAAGGGAGCGUAGGUUGACAUAUAAGUCAGCUGUGAAAGUUUACGGCUCAACCGUGAAAUUGCAGUUGAUACUGUAUGUCUUGAGUGUACAAGAGGCGGGCGGAAUUCGUGGUGUAGCGGUGAAAUGCUUAGAUAUCACGAAGAACUCCAAUUGCGAAGGCAGCUCACUGGGGUACAACUGACACUGAGGCUCGAAAGUGUGGGUAUCAAACAGGAUUAGAUACCCUGGUAGUCCACACGGUAAACGAUGAAUACUCGCUGCUUGCGAUAUACAGUAAGCGGCCAAGCGAAAGCAUUAAGUAUUCCACCUGGGGAGUACGCCGGCAACGGUGAAACUCAAAUGAAUUGACGGGG